CAUGCAGUCGAGCGGAUGAAGGUAGCUUGCUACCGGAUUCAGCGGCGGACGGGUGAGUAAUGCUUAGGAAUCUGCCUAUUAGUGGGGGACAACGUUCCGAAAGGAGCGCUAAUACCGCAUACGUCCUACGGGAGAAAGCAGGGGACCUUUGGGCCUUGCGCUAAUAGAUGAGCCUAAGUCGGAUUAGCUAGUUGGUAGGGUAAAGGCCUACCAAGGCGACGAUCUGUAGCGGGUCUGAGAGGAUGAUCCGCCACACUGGGACUGAGACACGGCCCAGACUCCUACGGGAGGCAGCAGUGGGGAAUAUUGGACAAUGGGGGGAACCCUGAUCCAGCCAUGCCGCGUGUGUGAAGAAGGCCUUUUGGUUGUAAAGCACUUUAAGCGAGGAGGAGGCUACCUAGAUUAAUACUUUAGGAUAGUGGACGUUACUCGCAGAAUAAGCACCGGCUAACUCUGUGCCAGCAGCCGCGGUAAUACAGAGGGUGCGAGCGUUAAUCGGAUUUACUGGGCGUAAAGCGUGCGUAGGCGGCCAAUUAAGUCAAAUGUGAAAUCCCCGAGCUUAACUUGGGAAUUGCAUUCGAUACUGGUUGGCUAGAGUAUGGGAGAGGAUGGUAGAAUUCCAGGUGUAGCGGUGAAAUGCGUAGAGAUCUGGAGGAAUACCGAUGGCGAAGGCAGCCAUCUGGCCUAAUACUGACGCUGAGGUACGAAAGCAUGGGGAGCAAACAGGAUUAGAUACCCUGGUAGUCCAUGCCGUAAACGAUGUCUACUAGCCGUUGGGGCCCUUGAGGCUUUAGUGGCGCAGCUAACGCGAUAAGUAGACCGCCUGGGGGAGUACGGUCGCAAGACUAAAACUCAAAUGAAUUGACGGGGGCCCGCACAAGCGGUGGAGCAUGUGGUUUAAUUCGAUGCACGCGAAGAACCUUACCUGCC
RNAcentral lists this ribosomal RNA (930 nucleotides) under Acinetobacter radioresistens. RNAcentral describes it as "bacterial SSU rRNA". It matches the Rfam family "Bacterial small subunit ribosomal RNA", at positions 54 to 979 of the family's 1533-position model. Lineage: Bacteria; Pseudomonadati; Pseudomonadota; Gammaproteobacteria; Moraxellales; Moraxellaceae. The record is from RNAcentral.